This is a long non-coding RNA of Brassica napus (rape), 788 nucleotides long. RefSeq lists it as uncharacterized. The record is from RefSeq and is a predicted model, not a curated record. The transcript has 2 exons. Lineage: Eukaryota; Viridiplantae; Streptophyta; Magnoliopsida; Brassicales; Brassicaceae.
UUUAUUUCUGAGGUUCUGGUUCCAGAAGAAAAACAUAUCAUAUAUAUAUACUCACUUCGUCAACAACCCUUUACUUCCACUACUAGCCUAUCUCUUUUCUAAAUUAGAGCCACAUCACGUCGGUGUUUUUCCUGCUAGCUUUCACACCACCCUUUACUACUUUCCGUCUCUCUCAAGUUUCUCUAGUCAUGACCUCUCUAAUGCCACAUGCCUGGAUCCGUAAAUCAACAAAUUAUUUUCGGUUUUGUCGUCAGUGAUUCUUUACUCCAUUAUUAAAUCCCCAAUAAACUUCAACUGGCAGAAGACACAUAUGCCACGAUUCCAGUAAAGAGUGGAUUUCCAGAUAAACAGAAAAAAUACUUCAAAAAGCCAAGGAGCAUAAACGUUUCCUUACCUCUCAAUCCAAGUGGAACAGAUCCUUCCAAAAAAAACUCUCACUUGUUUCGGUCUUUAGGCCUAAUAUGGUAUUUUUCCUUUUGAACAAAUUUUAUUUACUAUGGUAUUUUGCAUUGUCGGUUUUGUUAUGAAUGCUUCCUUUACAUAGGGCUAUGUCUUUGGAUUUAUUCUUCUUUCUCUGGUUAUGUAUUUCACAAUGUAUUCCCUCCUCGUGUAUGAUAUAGAAUUUCAGUUGACCAAAAAAAAAGAUCAUUUUACGUAGCUAGGAGUGCAUCGUGGGAGGCCAAACGGAGGAAAAAAGUGUUGUGGUGGAGCUUAACUAUGUCCACAGAAAAUUCUUCCAAGCCCUCAUCAUGCAGAAUAAUGCGGGUAAAAUUUUGAUCUGACCAAUA